RNAcentral lists this long non-coding RNA (943 nucleotides) under Olea europaea (common olive). RNAcentral describes it as "long non-coding RNA (OEUR_LNC015279)". The record is from RNAcentral. Lineage: Eukaryota; Viridiplantae; Streptophyta; Magnoliopsida; Lamiales; Oleaceae.
UUUAAUAGUUCUCGAAUAGGAGCCAAAUUUAAAAUCUGGAAAACUAUGAAACCUACAUAUAAAAUAUACUAAACGCGCUUGUUAGAGUAAAAUAUUAGUCUUUCAAUCGAGUUAAACUUAGCAAACAUGCCUGAAAGUGCAUGUGUAGACACAGACAACAAGAGAUCCAUAAGGUAAAUAAGAUAGUACAUAUUGCUCUUUUGAAAUUAAAAGAGAGACAACAAAACGGAAAGAUCAGGAAACAACUGCAGGAGGAAUAAUGGAUUUACUUCAUGAACCACCAAACGACACAAACACAAUUGAAAAAAGGAAGAAAAAUUCAUAAACCAACAACCCCUCAAGCCCUAUUCUCAAUAAAUCGGGGGCGAGCUGCAUAAAUUUCAUUCUACAGCUUCGUUCGAUUCAUUGAUAAAUCUGCAGAGUAACACAUUCUUAAUUGUGAUAAUAUAUAAAAAUACGAAAAUCCUGGAAGAAAGGCGUCACCUUCCCUUUGCCUCUAUGACUUGCCUUCGUGGUUUGUACUACCCUUCCAUAGAAAGAGUUUCAUAUCUUUUGCAUCAUUUUCUUUCUCUUCUUCUUCUUCUUCAUCAUCUUCGUCUCAACGUAAUGCGUUAACUGUACGGCGAUGGUUCAACUCCCUCAGAGUCCUAGGUUAUAUAUAACCUUGCUGCACCUAAGUGAUCUUCUUUGCUAAGAAACUAUUGCAACAUAGACAAUGGCAAUUUUGAAUGGUCCCCUACUAGUUCGUACUUAUCCAUUGCUAAGAAUAUUAUUGUUCUUCAAUAAUUUAAAUUAUCAAAGACAGGUGAAUGCUGUCCCUCCACCUGGUGAAAAAGCUACCCCUACCUUGUGUGUCUAGCUAAAAAGGGUCAGUCCAACUCCUUUUAUCGAGUGGAGAUUGAAAAGUUGAAACUCACAAUAUUGUGAGACUCUACACUUACAC